UGGGGAUUCGUCUAGUGGUAGGACGACAGACUCUGACUCUGUAAGCAUAGGUUCGAAUCCUAUAUCCCCAGCCA
Molecule: transfer RNA, 74 nt
Filed under: Chloroflexota bacterium
Lineage: Bacteria; Bacillati; Chloroflexota
Also listed under: 2 other names
Description: Chloroflexi bacterium tRNA-Gln
Rfam family: tRNA
About the family: Transfer RNA (tRNA) molecules are approximately 80 nucleotides in length. Their secondary structure includes four short double-helical elements and three loops (D, anti-codon, and T loops). Further hydrogen bonds mediate the characteristic L-shaped molecular structure. tRNAs have two regions of fundamental functional importance: the anti-codon, which is responsible for specific mRNA codon recognition, and the 3' end, to which the tRNAs corresponding amino acid is attached (by aminoacyl-tRNA synthetases). tRNAs cope with the degeneracy of the genetic code in two manners: having more than one tRNA (with a specific anti-codon) for a particular amino acid; and 'wobble' base-pairing, i.e. permitting non-standard base-pairing at the 3rd anti-codon position.
Source: RNAcentral